RNAcentral lists this transfer RNA (67 nucleotides) under Cryptocephalus rugicollis. RNAcentral describes it as "tRNA-Pro". The record is from RNAcentral. Lineage: Eukaryota; Metazoa; Arthropoda; Insecta; Coleoptera; Chrysomelidae.
CAGGGAAUAGUUUAUUUAAAAUAUUAAUUUUGGAGAUUAAUGAUAGGAUUAGUAGUCUUUUCCCUGA